RNAcentral lists this ribosomal RNA (1438 nucleotides) under uncultured organism. Its description in RNAcentral is "16S ribosomal RNA". It matches the Rfam family "Bacterial small subunit ribosomal RNA". The record is from RNAcentral.
CGCUGGCGGCGUGCUUAACACAUGCAAGUCGAACGGAAAGGCCCUGCUUUUGUGGGGUGCUCGAGUGGCGAACGGGUGAGUAACACGUGAGUAACCUGCCCUUGACUUUGGGAUAACUUCAGGGAACUGGGGCUAAUACCGGAUAGGAGCUCCUGCUGCAUGGUGGGGGUUGGAAAGUUUCGGCGGUUGGGGAUGGACUCGCGGCUUAUCAGCUUGUUGGUGGGGUAGUGGCUUACCAAGGCUUUGACGGGUAGCCGGCCUGAGAGGGUGACCGGCCACAUUGGGACUGAGAUACGGCCCAGACUCCUACGGGAGGCAGCAGUGGGGAAUAUUGCACAAUGGGCGGAAGCCUGAUGCAGCAACGCCGCGUGCGGGAUGACGGCCUUCGGGUUGUAAACCGCUUUCGCCUGUGACGAAGCGUGAGUGACGGUAAUGGGUAAAGAAGCACCGGCUAACUACGUGCCAGCAGCCGCGGUGAUACGUAGGGUGCGAGCGUUGUCCGGAUUUAUUGGGCGUAAAGGGCUCGUAGGUGGUUGAUCGCGUCGGAAGUGUAAUCUUGGGGCUUAACCCUGAGCGUGCUUUCGAUACGGGUUGACUUGAGGAAGGUAGGGGAGAAUGGAAUUCCUGGUGGAGCGGUGGAAUGCGCAGAUAUCAGGAGGAACACCAGUGGCGAAGGCGGUUCUCUGGGCCUUUCCUGACGCUGAGGAGCGAAAGCGUGGGGAGCGAACAGGCUUAGAUACCCUGGUAGUCCACGCUGUAAACGGUGGGUACUAGGUGUGGGGUCCAUUCCACGGGUUCCGUGCCGUAGCUAACGCUUUAAGUACCCCGCCUGGGGAGUACGGCCGCAAGGCUAAAACUCAAAGGAAUUGACGGGGCCCCGCACAAGCGGCGGAGCAUGCGGAUUAAUUCGAUGCAACGCGUAGAACCUUACCUGGGUUUGACAUGGAUCGGGAGCGCUCAGAGAUGGGUGUGCCUCUUUUGGGGUCGGUUCACAGGUGGUGCAUGGCUGUCGUCAGCUCGUGUCGUGAGAUGUUGGGUUAAGUCCCGCAACGAGCGCAACCCUUGUUCACUGUUGCCAGCACGUUAUGGUGGGGACUCAGUGGAGACCGCCGGGGUCAACUCGGAGGAAGGUGGGGAUGACGUCAAGUCAUCAUGCCCCUUAUGUCCAGGGCUUCACGCAUGCUACAAUGGCUGGUACAGAGAGUGGCGAGCCUGUGAGGGUGAGCGAAUCUCGGAAAGCCGGUCUCAGUUCGGAUUGGGGUCUGCAACUCGACCUCAUGAAGUCGGAGUCGCUAGUAAUCGCAGAUCAGCAACGCUGCGGUGAAUACGUUCCCGGGGCUUGUACACACCGCCCGUCAAGUCAUGAAAGUUGGUAACACCCGAAGCCGGUGGCCUAACCGUUGUGGGGGAGCCGUCGAAGGUGGGACUGGUGAUUAGG